AAAUUGAAGAGUUUGAUCAUGGCUCAGAUUGAACGCUGGCGGCAGGCCUAACACAUGCAAGUCGAACGGUAACAGGAAGCAGCUUGCUGCUUUGCUGACGAGUGGCGGACGGGUGAGUAAUGUCUGGGAAACUGCCUGAUGGAGGGGGAUAACUACUGGAAACGGUGGCUAAUACCGCAUAACGUCGCAAGACCAAAGAGGGGGACCUUCGGGCCUCUUGCCAUCAGAUGUGCCCAGAUGGGAUUAGCUUGUUGGUGAGGUAACGGCU
This 268-nucleotide ribosomal RNA is filed under the name Salmonella enterica. RNAcentral describes it as "partial 16S ribosomal RNA". It matches the Rfam family "Bacterial small subunit ribosomal RNA", at positions 1 to 265 of the family's 1533-position model. RNAcentral also lists the same sequence under 5 other names. Lineage: Bacteria; Pseudomonadati; Pseudomonadota; Gammaproteobacteria; Enterobacterales; Enterobacteriaceae. The record is from RNAcentral.